ACUGGGGCUUGGUGGUUGGAGCCUGGAGUCCCAGUUCCUGGGGAGGCUGAGGCAGGAGGGUCGCUUGAGCCCAGGAGUUCUGGGCUGCUGUGUGCUAUGUUGAUUGGAUGACCACACCAAGUUCGACAUCAAUCUGGGGACCUCCUGGGAUCGGGGAACCACUAGGUUGCCUAAGGAGGGGUGAACUGGGCCAGGUCAGAAAUGGUGCAAAUCAAAACUCUCAUGCUGAUCAGUAGAGGGAUCGCGUGUUUGAGUAGACACUACAUUCCAGCCUAGGCAACAUGGCAUGAAUAGAUACUGCAUUC
Unclassified non-coding RNA from Pan paniscus (pygmy chimpanzee), 305 nucleotides. It matches the Rfam family "Metazoan signal recognition particle RNA". From Rfam's summary of the family: The signal recognition particle (SRP) is a universally conserved ribonucleoprotein. It is involved in the co-translational targeting of proteins to membranes. The record is from Ensembl. Lineage: Eukaryota; Metazoa; Chordata; Mammalia; Primates; Hominidae.